UUCUCGAAUCGCAUGGCCUUGUGCCGGCGAUGGUUCAUUCAAAUUUCUGCCCUAUCAACUUUCGACGGCUGGGUCUUGGCCAGCCGUGGUUACAACGGGUAACGGAGGGUUAGGGCUUGACCCCGGAGAAGGAGCCUGAGAAACGGCUACUACAUCCAAGGAAGGCAGCAGGCGCGCAAAUUACCCAAUCCCGACACGGGGAGGUAGUGACAAUAAAUACUGAUACAGGGCUCUUUUGGGUCUUGUAAUUGGAAUGAGUACAAUUUAAAUCCCUUAACGAGGAACAAUUGGAGGGCAAGUCUGGUGCCAGCAGCCGCGGUAAUUCCAGCUCCAAUAGCGUAUAUUAAAGUUGUUGCAGUUAAAAAGCUCGUAGUUGAACCUUGGGCCUGGCUGGCCGGUCUGCCUCACCGCAUGCACUGGUCCGGCCGGGCCUUUCCCUCUGGGGAUCCGCAUGCCCUUCACUGGGUGUGUCGGGGAACCAGGACUUUUACUGUGAAAAAAUUAGAGUGUUCAAAGCAGGCCUAUGCUCGAAUACAUUAGCAUGGAAUAAUAGAAUAGGACGUUGCGGUUCUAUUUUGUUGGUUUCUAGGACCGCCGUAAUGAUUAAUAGGGACAGUCGGGGGCGUCAGUAUUCAAUCGUCAGAGGUGAAAUUCUUGGAUCGAUUGAAGACUAACUACUGCGAAAGCAUUCGCCAAGGAUGUUUUCAUUAAUCAGGAACGAAAGUUAGGGGAUCGAAAACGAUCAGAUACCGUUGUAGUCUUAACCAUAAACUAUGCCGACUAGGGAUCGGGCGAUGUUAUUUCUUGACUCGCUCGGCACCUUACACGAAAGUAAA
Molecule: ribosomal RNA, 836 nt
Filed under: Cytospora prunicola
Lineage: Eukaryota; Fungi; Ascomycota; Sordariomycetes; Diaporthales; Cytosporaceae
Description: SSU rRNA
Rfam family: Eukaryotic small subunit ribosomal RNA
Source: RNAcentral